CACUCUUUAAGGGGAUCAACAGUGCUGCAGGCAUCAAGUAAUUUGCUCGUGUUUACUAUUUUCUCAAAGCUAACAACAUCCUUCACUGGACAAGACCCACCCGUGAGAUUCAAUGAUGUUACCGAGCAAAGUGUAGGAAUUGUAUGGUUGGCCCCUCUGCUAGCUAAUAUGCUAAGGAUAUCUGAAAAACAAUCAUUAGCAACUGUGUUUUGCAAUACCAACUUAUCAGAUUUCAUACUGUAGAAACCUUGGAAUAUGUGGAGUAAACUACCAAGCUGCGGACAACAUAUUACGUUUCCUACAAGUGGGGCCAAAGGUUGGGAACAAUCCGAUGCUGUUUUUUGCAUGAUGCUUGACAUGGCAGAGAAAUUUACCGGGCAUCUCCCAGUUAAAUUUGGUUCGUAUGUUGUAGGAAAAGUUGGAUACAUUGGAGGCAAUGGUUCGCCAGCAUACGGGUAAGGUG
RNAcentral lists this long non-coding RNA (463 nucleotides) under Citrus x clementina. RNAcentral's name for it is "Citrus clementina (C. clementina) long non-coding RNA (CCLE_LNC004508)". The record is from RNAcentral. Lineage: Eukaryota; Viridiplantae; Streptophyta; Magnoliopsida; Sapindales; Rutaceae.